This 301-nucleotide ribosomal RNA is filed under the name uncultured bacterium. Its description in RNAcentral is "partial 16S ribosomal RNA". It matches the Rfam family "Bacterial small subunit ribosomal RNA", at positions 509 to 807 of the family's 1533-position model. The record is from RNAcentral.
CAGUAGCCACGGUAAUACGUAGGGUGCAAGCGUUAAUCGGAAUUACUGGGCGUAAAGCGUGCGCAGGCGGUUAUAUAAGACAGAUGUGAAAUCCCCGGGCUCAACCUGGGAACUGCAUUUGUGACUGUAUAGCUAGAGUACGGCAGAGGGGGAUGGAAUUCCGCGUGUAGCAGUGAAAUGCGUAGAUAUGCGGAGGAACACCGAUGGCGAAGGCAAUCCCCUGGGCCUGUACUGACGCUCAUGCACGAAAGCGUGGGGAGCAAACAGGAUUAGAUACCCCGGUAGUCCCUGUCUCUUAUAC